GAUUUCUGGUUUAAUGCACCUGGCCCGCGGCCACUAGGCUGUGAGUGCCGGCGCGCGUUUACCAUCCUUCUAGAAAUCGGUUCUGCCAUUAACUUGGUGGGGCCGCGAUCUAGAUCCUUUACUUUGAAAAAAUUAGAGUGUUUAAAGCAGGCUUUUGCUAUGAAUACAUUAGCAUGGAAUAAUAAUCUAGGACUUCGGUUCUAUUUUGUUGGUUUCUAGAACUGAAGUAAUGAUUGAUAGGGACAGUUGGGGGUGCUAGUAUUGGCCGGCCAGAGGUGAAAUUCUUGGAUUCGGUCAAGACUAACUUAUGCGAAAGCAUU
Molecule: ribosomal RNA, 320 nt
Filed under: uncultured Rhogostoma
Lineage: Eukaryota; Cercozoa; Thecofilosea; Cryomonadida
Description: SSU rRNA
Rfam family: Eukaryotic small subunit ribosomal RNA (bases 108-320)
Source: RNAcentral